Molecule: long non-coding RNA, 448 nt
Filed under: Arachis ipaensis
Lineage: Eukaryota; Viridiplantae; Streptophyta; Magnoliopsida; Fabales; Fabaceae
Description: long non-coding RNA (AIPA_LNC000803)
Source: RNAcentral
AUGCAAAAAAUUGUGGAAUUUGUUGGAUGACAAGUGCUAGUACAAUAGCAAUUGAUUUAACAUGUAACAUAUACAAGUCGUGAAGGUGGUUUUAUUUCAAUGGGGAGUGUGAUGGUGUUUGUGGACAAUGGAAGGAAACAUGCUGAAUUAUAAAGCGGCGGUGGCGAUGCAUAAAUGUGUGUAUGGAAUUUAGGUGUCCGUGAGAGUCACAUUGUUGUUGAUGGACAGUGUCUGAAUCACUCGUGUGGUUACAACAGUUAAGCAUGUGGGGGACCUGAAUAUGACCUGAUAUUGUUCUUUGUUCAACAGUCUAUGUUUUAGUUUUAGUAAUUAAUAAUGUAAUGUUCCCUUUGGUCUUUCUUUGACCUAACUCUGCCCUUUCCUUCUCAUCAUCAUAACUCCUUAUCUUCCACGCUUUUGCUUCUUUUUUCUCUUAUUUUCUCUAUCG